This 301-nucleotide ribosomal RNA is filed under the name uncultured bacterium. RNAcentral's name for it is "partial 16S ribosomal RNA". It matches the Rfam family "Bacterial small subunit ribosomal RNA", at positions 509 to 807 of the family's 1533-position model. The record is from RNAcentral.
CAGCCGCCACGGUAAUACGAAGGGGGCUAGCGUUGCUCGGAAUUACUGGGCGUAAAGGGCGCGUAGGCGGCGCUCCAAGUUAGGCGUGAAAUUCCCGGGCUCAACCUGGGGACUGCGCUUAAGACUGGAGUGCUUGAGGAUGGAAGAGGGUUGUGGAAUUCCCAGUGUAGAGGUGAAAUUCGUAGAUAUUGGGAAGAACACCGGUGGCGAAGGCGGCAACCUGGUCCAUUACUGACGCUGAGGCGCGAUAGCGUGGGGAGCAAACAGGAUUAGAUACCCCUGUAGUCCCUGUCUCUUAUAC